Molecule: long non-coding RNA, 2302 nt
Filed under: Panax ginseng (ginseng)
Lineage: Eukaryota; Viridiplantae; Streptophyta; Magnoliopsida; Apiales; Araliaceae
Description: long non-coding RNA (PGIN_LNC012171)
Source: RNAcentral
CCAUGUCUUUUUAAGAAUGCCAAAGCAUUUCUCAAUUACAUUCCUUGCUGAUUAAUGUUUUAUGUUAAAAUAUUCCUCGACGGAUAUGAGUUGAUGUCCAUCUCUCCAAUCAUUCAAAUGAUAUCUUUGACCUCUAUAUGGUGCAAGAAAUCCCUCUCCAUUAGUAUAACAAUCCUCUUUUUCAUGAUAUUUUCCUUGUAGCUAAAUUAAAUCGAGCCAUUACUGCAUUUGGAGAGCCAAAAAAUAACUAAUUAUAACAUAAGCCAACUUCCAAACACUAGUAUAUUAUCAAGUCGUAUAAAAAGAAACACAAACAUAGGAGCAUGAAACUGAAAAAUGUUUUUGGAUAUCAUCGAACAAGACAUGUUACAGAAGCCAAAUGCACCACAAAAUUACUUACAAAAUGGACAUAGCCAUGUAAGCAACCAAAUACUGAGAAGGGCUGAUGGGACUCCCCAGCUUCAGAAGCCAAAUGAUUCAGGUUACAAUCUCCUAUCUAGAUUUUUUUGGUAGGCACAAGGCAUCCUUUAACUAUAAUGCACUCAGCUCAAUGAGCUCAUUGAAGUUUAAUCAAAUAUUUUCAUUUAAUGACCAAAAUAUUAAGUAUUUCAUAAAACAUUGCUUUCUAUUGGAUUAUGAUGAGAUUCAUGACAAUUCUGCGAAAUUAGAAAUUCUUUAUCAACAAAGAGCUAUGUUAACAGUUUAUGUAAGUUGAAUAAAUAUACAGAAUUGACUUAUUAUACAAUAGCCAUUAGCCAACAUCAAGGCCUUCACAACUGAAUCAACCUUUACCAGAACAAUGCAGAACAUCCUCUGAGAAGACAAGGUUCAUCCAGACUAGAUAUAUAACUUUUAUUUUCCGGGGCUUUUCUGUUUCAUCCAUAACAUGUUUGAAGAGAAAGAAACUUUUUAAGCUCAAGCAGAAAACUUUGAAAAACAUAAAGUAUCCCUAUUGAACAUAUCAUGACACUGGUAUGGCUAUGUGAUCUUUAUUUGACACAGACCUAGUGAUCUACACAAGCAUAUCCAAUAUAGGGGGACUAAAUUUAACCACCAGCAGGAUGGGAAAAAAAGAAGUUACAUACAUAAUGGAUAUAGCCAUGUAAACAACCAAAAAUUGCCAGAUUAUAAUAUACUAGUGUAUACUAGUAUAUAGCCAUGCCGCACAUGAUAUGUUUUGAACACUGUUUUUGGAUACAUUGAACUGAAAAAUGUUUUUGGAUAUCAUCGAACAUGACAUGUUAUAGAAGCCAAAUGCACCACAAAACAACAAUAUAAAAGCCUGGUUUGAUUAGUAGGGGAUAAGACCAGGCCCCUCCACACAGACAACAAAGAACAGCCACAUCAUGAUGAAUGAUUUAUAACAUACUUGAUUGAUAAUAUACUUCUUUUUCCAUUUUUUCUGUGCUUUGGGCCCUUUUUCAAGUUUUAGUCAGCAUUAUAACACACACAUGUAUAUAUAUAUAUAUAUAUAUAUAUAUAUAUAUAUAUAUAUAUAUAUCAAUCCAUUUGGAAGGGGGACACAAACAAGAAGUGAUCAAUUGAUAAAAUCGUAACAAGAAUUCAAGCUAGGAAACCAAACAAAAGGCAGGAACAGAUACUCACUUGCAUAUUGCGGGUUGUCUUACUGUGGGUUGCCGGUAGUAUUGUGUUUCAGAAACACAGGUAUUAUCAAAUGCUGUCCCUAAUAGGAAUACUCAAUAUUCAUCAUAUUGUUUAUCUGUAGCCCUGCCACUAUUUUCUUAGUAACAUGCGUGAGCAUUCAGCAACUUUUUCGUAGACUUGUACUUUUUUUCCCAAGUAUGUCUAGCCUUGAUUAAAUUGUAUACCACUUUCACCAAAUUCAGAGACUAUUUAUUCCAUCAAACUGAAAGACAUAAAUUUACAUUAUUUAUACGAAUUCUUUUCUCCAAAAACCUAAAGAUUAUCAACUAGCUAGGAAAGAAAGGUGUUUCUCAAAAUUUUAGACCAUUUCAUAUUGGGCAGAGGAAAGAAGCUUAUAAACAUGAUAUAACCAGAAAUCUUAGAAAGGCUUUUGUGCGUUCCUUAAUCUAAUCUUCAUAGCGUCAAUACAUCAAACAUGUGGUGCACAUAUAUCCAAAAUCAAAAUUGACUGAGCACCAAAAUGAGAUUUGAUUAAACACAAAUGGAGACAUGGGAGGCGAGCGAAGCCGUAGGGUGUAGGUUAUGGGAUCGAUCGAUCGGAGAGGAUAAAGUCGGGUGAAAAAUGAACGAAUCUGCACGGGAAUGAAAUAAACCCGGAAUGAUAAAUAACAUUUUAUUUUAAAUAUGAGAAUGGAAU